Molecule: ribosomal RNA, 501 nt
Filed under: uncultured Glomeromycotina
Lineage: Eukaryota; Fungi; Glomeromycota
Description: partial small subunit ribosomal RNA
Rfam family: Eukaryotic small subunit ribosomal RNA
Source: RNAcentral
CCAAUAGCGUAUAUUAAAGUUGUUGCAGUUAAAAAGCUCGUAGUUGAAUUUCGGGAUCAAUAUUUCGGUCAUGCCGUUGGUAUGCACUGUUAUCAUUGACUUCUCACCUUCUAAAGAACCGUAAUGCCAUUAAUUUGGUGUUACGGGGAAUUAGGACUGUUACCUUGAAAAAAUUAGAGUGUUUAAAGCAGGCUCACGCUUGAAUACAUUAGCAUGGAAUAACGAAAUAGGAACUCCGAUUCUAUUUUGUUGGUUUCUAGGAUCGAUGUAAUGGUUAAUAGGGAGAGUUGUGGGCAUUAGUAUUCAAUUGUCAGAGGUGAAAUUCUUGGAUUUAUUGAAGACUAACUACUGCGAAAGCAUUUGCCAAGGAUGUUUUCAUUAAUCAAGAACGAAAGUUAGGGGAUCGAAGACGAUCAGAUACCGUCGUAGUCUUAACCAUAAACUAUGCCGACUAGGGAUCGGAUGAUGUUAAUUUUUUAAUGACUCAUUCGGCGCCUUACG